Molecule: unclassified non-coding RNA, 1281 nt
Filed under: Hevea brasiliensis (rubber tree)
Lineage: Eukaryota; Viridiplantae; Streptophyta; Magnoliopsida; Malpighiales; Euphorbiaceae
Source: RNAcentral
GGGCGGUCAAGUAGCCACAUUACAAUUAAUAAGGCCAUGUAAGCACUAUAAGAGAAUGAUUCUUGCUGCGCUCUAUGCUUCAGCAGCAUAGAGUGCUUUGAUUUCCUCAACAUCAUCAUAGCUUCCUAGAAAUAUUGGAGAUCGCUGAUGUAUCUUCUCUGGAACCAAGUCAAGUGCCUUUUGCUUGCCAGUAAAAGAUUGACCUCCUGCUUGUUCCAUCAAAAAUGACAUUGGAAAGACUUCAUACAGCACACGCAGUUUCCCAUUGGGACUCUUCUUAUCUGCAGGGUACAAAAAUAUUCCCCCAUAGAGUAAUGUGCGAUGCACAUCAGCCACCAUGCUUCCAACGUAUCUCAGAGACUUUGGUGAGGAACCAUCCUCAGGGAACUUGCAUUUUUCCACAUACUUGGCUGUUGGAGCAUCCCAGUUCUUAGCAUUUCCUUCAUUUACUGAAUAAAUCUUUCCUUUCUUUGGAAUCUUAAUAUCAGGGUGAGUAAGUAUGAACUCCCCAAGGGAUGGAUCAAGGGUGAAACCAUUAACACCACUUCCAGUACUCAACACAAGCAUGCAAGAGCUUCCAUACAUGCAAUAGCCAGCUGCUACCAUAUUUUUCCCAGGUUGCAAAACAUCAUCUAGAGUUGGUUCACGGCCAUGUUUCACCAUGUAAAUCCCAAAGAUCGUUCCAAUAGAAACACCACAGUCAAUGUUGGAGGAUCCAUCCAAUGGAUCAAAAACAACACAGUACUUUCCACGCUUGUCAGGCUCCACAAAUAUUGCCUCCUCAUCUUCUUCAGAGACAAGUAUGCAUGUUCGGCCACUGCUUACUAAAGCCUUGAUGAAUACUUCAUUUGAAAGNNNNUUUUGCUCUUCACCCUGAACAUUUGUCUCCCCAGCAAGUCCAAUAAGCUUGGCAAGACCCGCCUUGUUAACAGCAGAGCAAACGAAUUUGCAGCCAAGAACAAUAUGAUUGAGCAAGAUAGUGAAAUCCCCACGCGAACCUGGGUGCUUUGAUUGUUCAUUCAGUACAAACCUCAUUAUCGUCAUCAAAUCGGUCCGGUGGGCAUCUGCCGCGUGAUCCAUCUCUCCCUCUCCCUGCGUCUCUCUCUCUCUCUCUCUCUCUCUCUCUCUCUCACGCACACCCCACCCAAAAACCACUACAAGAAAACCAUAAAAAUAUAAGCUUUGCGAGUGGAAUUAUAAGAGCAUAAAAAGGAUUAGCAGAGGUGAGAUUCGCUGGAUUCGAGGAGCAGCCAGCUCUUGCAGUGGAUACAUACGAAAGCG